Molecule: long non-coding RNA, 827 nt
Organism: Schistocerca serialis cubense
Lineage: Eukaryota; Metazoa; Arthropoda; Insecta; Orthoptera; Acrididae
Exons: 3
Source: RefSeq, a predicted model, not a curated record
GUUUGUUUACGGUUGCGGUAGACGGUGACGACUGACGAGUCAGUGUCCCCAUAAAACUGGGAUGCUCUCGAAUAGGAAUAUUGUAGCACUUCACCAGUAUCUGAGGAGGAUGUUGUAUAUGUUUAUGAUAAUAUUGUCUUCAUUCUUCGUGAUUUUGCCAGAACAUAUGAAAGUGAUUAUAUUCCGUCUUUAAAAUACUGUAAUUGGUUCUACUUUGACGUAUUUGAUGAUGGUUUGGGACAGCCUGCGAAUUUCCUAAGCAUUUCAUUCAUAUUAUGUUUAUGGUAACAAACCAUACAUGUUAUUUUACAUGAGCUUCUAAGUUUUCGCAUUGCGACAUGGAGAUAAAUCUUGCGAACAGUGUUUUUGCGCACAUACUUACGUUUAUUGUACUUUAUUUAUGAAUGAUAUAAGGCUGGUGUGUACAGAGAAAGUGACAUAAUUUUUGCUCUGCCCGAUAAAAUCUCUCUAGUUUCUGUGACAUCGUAAAAGGAACGGCUUUUACUGUGAUUUGUGUGAUUUUUUUACAGCAGUGUCCGCAUGGUAGUUCUGUAGUGCUGGAAUGGGGUGAUGUUGCAUGUUAGUGUUUUAAGGAAUGGAAUACGACCAUAAAAUAAUUGUUUGAGAGUUCUUGGGGCUGUACAUCUGUGAACACCUCAUGGUCCAGAGAUCUCCAAGAAAUUACAAGUGAUUUGGCUCCAGUCACCACCCGGGUGUUCCCGUGGAACAGUGACAGCCUAUGGUUCAUUGUCUCUGCUGCUACGCAUCGUCUCGUAUGAAACCAAAUUUUCUAGCUAAUCCUGGGCAGGCAUUGGGACACUCCGUGC